RNAcentral lists this ribosomal RNA (460 nucleotides) under uncultured bacterium. RNAcentral's name for it is "partial 16S ribosomal RNA". It matches the Rfam family "Bacterial small subunit ribosomal RNA", at positions 338 to 795 of the family's 1533-position model. The record is from RNAcentral.
CCUACGGGGGGCAGCAGUGAGGAAUAUUGGUCAAUGGACGAGAGUCUGAACCAGCCAAGUAGCGUGAAGGAUGACUGCCCUAUGGGUUGUAAACUUCUUUUAUAUGGGAAUAAAAUGUUCCACGUGUGGGAUUUUGUAUGUACCAUAUGAAUAAGGAUCGGCUAACUCCGUGCCAGCAGCCGCGGUAAUACGGAGGAUCCGAGCGUUAUCCGGAUUUAUUGGGUUUAAAGGGUGCGUAGGUGGAUUGUUAAGUCAGUUGUGAAAGUUUGCGGCUCAACCGUAAAAUUGCAGUUGAAACUGGCAGUCUUGAGUACAGUAGAGGUGGGCGGAAUUCGUGGUGUAGCGGUGAAAUGCUUAGAUAUCACGAAGAACUCCGAUUGCGAAGGCAGUUCACUGGACUGCAACUGACACUGAGGCUCGAAAGUGUGGGUAUCAAACAGGAUUAGAUACCCGAGUAGUC